This is a long non-coding RNA of Haliotis rufescens (red abalone), 1264 nucleotides long. RefSeq lists it as uncharacterized. The transcript has 4 exons. The record is from RefSeq and is a predicted model, not a curated record. Lineage: Eukaryota; Metazoa; Mollusca; Gastropoda; Lepetellida; Haliotidae.
UCGGUUCACCACAGUUCCGGACGACAUCUCUGACGACGAGUGCUCUAUCGCAGUUGGCGAGUGACAUGAUCGGCCAUCUUUUCCGGGGUUUCCCCAACCUGAAUAAGGCAGUGUGGCAAAGGGAUAUCCCAGCGGACCUGAUAUUCCUGCAGCAGAAAUGUUUCACAACGUCGUCAAAAUUGGCCAAAUAUUGCGAUUGCAGCUGAGGUCAUGCUGGCAGCUUAAGUGACAUAUUCAGAUGUGAAGAAUCAAGAACAAAUUUAAUGACAGGGGAGUUUUGCAUCAGUGAUCGUCGUGAAGUGGAAGAUAAGACAAUUUAAGGAUAUGAACAUUUUCAUUUUCACUUGAACUAGUUGAACAAUAACCAUGAUGACAACUUUAUCAUUUGGGAAUUUUUGGUGGUGGGCUGGCCUAGUGGUUGUAGCGUUCACUCUUCAUACUGAAGACCCUGGUUUGAUUCCUGUCACAGAAUGUACAUUCCGCCUGGAAUCUCCUUCUCUGGGAACAGUGUCUCUAUCAACGCACGGCUGCAUUGAAAUGGCUUGUCCUCGACCAUGACCAUUGGGGUUUCCCUGUAAUGAGAUGAUCACAUUUCAAUCAAUCUUUAAACAUCUGCUCAGAUUGAUUCUUACAGGAAUAGUAUUUGUGUUACAUAGACUGGCGAAGAUUUUUAUCGUUUUCUAAAUAUCUUUCGAUUCAUAUAUAAUUGUGACAGGUGAAUUCACCAUUCAAUGGCGAUAAUGAUGUUUAAUUGUAUUAAGUUUAGUUAUGAGACAUUGCUGCUAUUGUUUGGAUUAAAUAUGCAGCAAGUAAUGAAAUGUGGUUAUUUGGGAGUAACCUCGCAGACUGUAUGCAUAUGUUAUUUGAUCGCACAUUUUCUAUACUUACUCAUCAAACCCAAUAGCGUCAAUGUAUCCAGUGACCGUUUCAGUCGGUUGUGGAACAGCCUACAAAGAACAUGGUGUAUAUUUUCAAAUGAUGUUUUUAAUUUCCUUAUAUACGUUAUAUCUGAAUAAUAGUAUCGAGUUUUAUUAUCAUUGUUAGGAUAAAAUAGAUUUACAUGGUUUUUUACAAUGUGUCAUGAGUGGUUGAGUCUUAAAGGUCUCAAAUGCCGGAUAUUAAUUAACUCACAACGAUCUUGGUAUCCAGUGUAGAAUUCAGGUCCCUCUUCCCCUUGUACUCUCUAAGGGUGCAACAUUCCACUGAUAGGACGUCAUUGAUUUUCACUUCUGUUUUAGACAAGUCCCCCCAUAACUUCACUUGG